Molecule: long non-coding RNA, 412 nt
Filed under: Mytilus galloprovincialis (Mediterranean mussel)
Lineage: Eukaryota; Metazoa; Mollusca; Bivalvia; Mytilida; Mytilidae
Source: RNAcentral
AUUUUUGAAAAGUUUGAAGAAGAAAUCUUUAAUUGCACAAUAUUGCGCAAUAGAUUUGUAAGAUCUUGACAUUUGUUUUGUGUCAGAAACUCAUAUUAUGCCAAAAAUUUGAUUACAAUCUAAAUUCAGAGCUGUAUCAAGCUUGAAUGUUGUGUCCAUACUUGCCCCAACUUGUUCAGGGUUCGACCUCUGCAGUGGUAUAAAGCUGCACCCUGCGGAGCACCUGGUUGAUAGAAUGCUUCCCUCCUCUCACUAUAAAUAAGAUGUGGUAUGAGUGCCAGUGAGACAACUCUCCCGUACAAGUCAAAAUGUAUAAAAAGUUAACAAUUAUUGGUGAAAGUUUGGCCUUAGAAGGCUCAUACCAAACAGCAAGGCUAUAAAGGGUUCCAAAAUGACAUGUCUAUUGGGACUU